AGUCCCACCUGGUGUCUGGCCAAAGACUCCCCGGAUGGGACCUCACGGCAUACCGCAGCUACUGUGUGGCGGUACUACUAAUUAGACACAAGCUACCUAAAGAGGCAGUGGUGGAGUUCCAGGUGCAGGACUGGUUGCAGAGAACGCCAGGGACUGACGGUACCACCAUCCGGCUAACCAGCUCCAAGGCGGCAGGGAAUAUCUUCACCCUCAGCCAGCAAGAGGACGAGCUGCUGGGAUGCUAUUUCUACCAUGUGAGGGCAGAAGCCAUCAAAGGCCUGACCUCAGGGCAGGGCAGGUUCUUUGUGAACAAUGGCGGCAACCCACUGAUCAAC
Long non-coding RNA from Trematomus bernacchii (emerald rockcod), 335 nucleotides. RefSeq lists it as uncharacterized. NCBI's taxonomy places the organism in Eukaryota, Metazoa, Chordata, Actinopteri, Perciformes, Nototheniidae. The record is from RefSeq and is a predicted model, not a curated record. The transcript is spliced from 3 exons.